RNAcentral lists this ribosomal RNA (253 nucleotides) under uncultured bacterium. RNAcentral's name for it is "partial 16S ribosomal RNA". It matches the Rfam family "Bacterial small subunit ribosomal RNA", at positions 524 to 776 of the family's 1533-position model. The record is from RNAcentral.
UACAGAGGGUGCAAGCGUUAAUCGGAAUUACUGGGCGUAAAGCGCAUGAUGGUGGUUAAAUAAGUUUGAUGUGAAAGCCCUGGGCUUAACCUGGGAAUGGCAUUGAAUACUGUUUGACUGGAGUCGGACAGAGGGUAGUGGAAUUUCCGGUGUAGCGGUGAAAUGCGUAGAGAUCGGAAAGAACAUCGAUGGCGAAGGCAGCUACCUGGGUCCAGACUGACACUUAAGUGCGAAAGCGUGGGGAGCAAACAGG